Molecule: non-coding RNA, 1167 nt
Organism: Cyanistes caeruleus (blue tit)
Lineage: Eukaryota; Metazoa; Chordata; Aves; Passeriformes; Paridae
Source: RefSeq, a predicted model, not a curated record
AAACAGAUUCCAUUCCCAGCACCAGAUCUCAUCCCUGGAAAAUCAAUGGCAGUGGAGACAGAAUCCCUAAAAUGCAUUAUGGAAUUGCAAGCUAAAGCCAAGGCAUACCCAUUCAACAGUGACUCACUGUGCAGCCUGGGCUGUCUCAGUUCAGGAAGAGGUGAAUGGGGCAGUGAUAGUUCUCAGUCUCAUAAAACACUUCAAGAACUUCCUGUGAAAAGGAGUAGCCCUGUUACUACAAUCUCUUACCCGCCUGCUUUCUAGCCCAGUAACAUAGAAAGAGCAAAGAACAAAAUCCCUGCAGAAAACAUAGUCCUCCUGCUCGGCAUCUAUUUGUAUGAGAAUUUGGGACCCCCACCCAUCCCUUCCUGACACAUCUGAUAAAACUGGAAGUUACAAGAGUACUUUGGUGAUCUGCUCUGGGUGAGCCAAAGUGCCUUGUCUCUGGCUGGUGCAAGAUCAAACCCUCCACAGGAAGCAGGAAGGUAAGAGCAGCAAGAGCACUGGAAAACACAGGAUGCAGACACUGUAGAAUCAGUGCUGUUUCCUGCUUGACUCAGCAGGAGUUAUUUGUUUUUAAUUUGGUAUUGUCAUCCACUUGUUUACACUGAUACAGACCUAGUCUGGAGAAACCAAUCCGUGAUUUCCAAACAACUAACACAUUCCAUCACGGGUCAUAAUCCCACGCUUGAUUGAUACAUCAUGGCCUAUAACAGUCAUGCCAGUGUGUGGAAUUGCACCCAUUUCUUGGUUUGCUUGUCUCAGACGGUGCACAAAGGUGAAUGUGAAUGGUGGUAACAAAGCACUGGGCUGCACUGACGCAAUGUGAUUGGACUCAGCUGCAAUAUCACAGUUUCAUAAUGCAGAAGGCUUUGAAGAGCCAAACAGACCCCAAACAUCCUGUGAAGCACAGCUGCAGGCAGGUGCUUGGCCAUUCCCAAGAAACCAGGGCUGUGUAACAGCUACUUGGAAAGAUAAACAACGUAACUCUGAACCUGCCUCCUUCCUUCCUCUUUUUGUAGAUUUAAGUGUGAGUAUGAUGUGGAAUAUGAUCAGUAUGGAACCUGACAAAAGGUGGGGUCAGCUGUUCUGGCUGCAUUCUCUCACAGCUCCUUGUGCACCCCCAGACCACUCAUGUGUGGGGUGGAGUGGGGUGAGGAGCAGAAA